This is a non-coding RNA of Aspergillus ellipticus CBS 707.79, 90 nucleotides long. The record is from the annotation of a GenBank genome assembly. Lineage: Eukaryota; Fungi; Ascomycota; Eurotiomycetes; Eurotiales; Aspergillaceae.
GGUUGUGUAGUGUAGUGGUUAUCACUCUGGAUUUUGACUACAUUCUUGUACUGAAUUCCAGUAACCCCGGUUCGAACCCGGGCACGACCU